This 364-nucleotide transfer-messenger RNA is filed under the name Burkholderiales. RNAcentral describes it as "ZC4RG42 sp003242425 Standard tmRNA". It matches the Rfam family "transfer-messenger RNA". Rfam says of the family: Bacterial tmRNA, also known as 10Sa RNA or SsrA, is named for its dual tRNA and mRNA-like properties. Its role is to liberate the mRNA from a stalled ribosome. RNAcentral also lists the same sequence under 1 other name. The record is from RNAcentral. Lineage: Bacteria; Pseudomonadati; Pseudomonadota; Betaproteobacteria.
GGGGGCGACCUGGCUUCGACGUGGGUUGCGAAGCAGUGCAGUGCAUACCGAGGACCAGUGACCUCGUAAAUCAACUGGACCAAAUUAACUGCGAACGACGAACGUUUCGCUCUCGCGGCCUAAAUAACCCGCGAGCCUGGCACUACCUCGUCCAUGGGGUAGCUAGCGCAAGCUAGAGCCGGGUCAUUCACAUGGACUCGCGUCGUGCGGGGUCACUUCGUACGGCGUUAAAUCCAAGGUGACUCGCCCGUAACCAGCCUGCCGGUCGGCGGGUUGCGGGUUAAAGCCAAUAGACACGGCUAAGUAUGUAGAGCUGCCUGUAGAGGACUUGCGGACGCGGGUUCGAUUCCCGCCGCCUCCACCA